GUGGGGAAUAUUGGGCAAUGGGGGAAACCCUGACCCAGCGACGCCGCGUGAGGGAAGAAGGCCUUAGGGUCGUAAACCUCUGUUGUGUGGGAAGAAGAGCGUGACGGUACCACACGAGGAAGUCCCGGCUAACUACGUGCCAGCAGCCGCGGUAAUACGUAGGGGACGAGCGUUGCCCGGAUUUACUGGGCGUAAAGGGCGCGUAGGCGGUCAUUUAAGUCAGCUGUGAAAUGGUGCGGCUUAACCGCAUCAUGCGGUUGAAACUGGAUGACUGGAGUAGUGGAGAGGCAAGUGGAAUUCCCAGUGUAGCGGUGAAAUGCGUAGAUAUUGGGAAGAACACCGGUGGCGAAGGCGACUUGCUGGCCAGCAACUGACGCUGAGGCGCGAAAGCCAGGGGAGCAAACGGGAUUAGAAACCCGGGUAGUCC
RNAcentral lists this ribosomal RNA (427 nucleotides) under uncultured bacterium. RNAcentral describes it as "partial 16S ribosomal RNA". It matches the Rfam family "Bacterial small subunit ribosomal RNA", at positions 354 to 796 of the family's 1533-position model. The record is from RNAcentral.